RNAcentral lists this ribosomal RNA (526 nucleotides) under uncultured bacterium. Its description in RNAcentral is "partial 16S ribosomal RNA". It matches the Rfam family "Bacterial small subunit ribosomal RNA", at positions 355 to 895 of the family's 1533-position model. The record is from RNAcentral.
UGGGGAAUAUUGCACAAUGGGCGAAAGCCUGAUGCAGCAACGCCGCGUGAGUGAUGAAGGCCUUCGGGUUGUAAAGCUCUGUCUUUUGGGACGAUAAUGACGGUACCAAAGGAGGAAGCCACGGCUAACUACGUGCCAGCAGCCGCGGUAAUACGUAGGUGGCAAGCGUUGUCCGGAUUUACUGGGCGUAAAGGAUGCGUAGGCGGAUUUUUCAAGUGAGAUGUGAAAUACCCGGGCUUAACUUGGGUGCUGCAUUUCAAACUGGGAAUCUAGAGUGCGGGAGAGGAGAAUGGAAUUCCUAGUGUAGCGGUGAAAUGCGUAGAGAUUAGGAAGAACACCAGUGGCGAAGGCGAUUCUCUGGACCGUAACUGACGCUGAGGCAUGAAAGCGUGGGUAGCAAACAGGAUUAGAUACCCUGGUAGUCCACGCCGUAAACGAUGAGUACUAGGUGUAGGAGGUAUCGACCCCGUUCUGUGCCGCAGUUAACACAAUAAGUACUCCGCCUGGGAAGUACGAUCGCAAGAUU